UAAACCUUUGAUAUUUGACAAACUUUCCAAAAUCAAAUUACAAAUUAUGUAUUUUUCUGACCUAAUUAAUCCUCUAAGAUAUUAGGUUCCCUAAAGUCCAAAAAUGACAUAAUUUGGCUUAUUUGGUAUAAAAAUUAUACAGGAAGCAUUGUCAAAUAUGAAAUGGUGUUUGGUUUUCUUUGGGCUGUGAUUGUAUAAAUAUGUUAUUGGUAUGUGUUUCAAAAUUAUGAGAAACUUCUAUAAUUAUGAUAUGACUUAGUGUAUGUUAUUAGUAAUAAUUAUAAUCGUUAUGUUAAAUUUUUGUAUACUACAGAGGUAACAAAUUUCCUUGUCAAUUGUGUCUUUGACUAUGGCUGCCCUAAAACUUUUUGUCAUCCAUGGACAAUUGUUGUCUUGUUUUUGUCCUCUUUAGAAAGUGGUUUUAUAAUCAGCUAUAAAACUCUAACAGGUGCUUCUGAACACAGGUUUCUGAUAACUUUGGAGAUUGUGACAUCAGAAUAGGGAAAAAACUUUCAGGACUCAUGGAGAGCUGAAAUGUUCAUGAAUAUCAAGCAGAACAGGAAUUAACAGCAUGGACUGAACUAACAGAAGAUUGAAGUAAUCUUUUUGACUUUUGGUUUAAAAUGUUGCUGAUCAUUUGUUUUUUUGUCAGAGUCAAGAAAACUUUUCUUUUGAGUUAUUGACAGCUUUUAAGAAGUUAGUAUACUCCUAUGAACAAAAUUUGGAGCAUAUUUUUUUCUCUCUACCUGAUUUCUCCAGAAUUUGGAAACUAUUUGUGAGUAGUCUUAACUUAUGGCAAUACAGGUAUUUGAAUAAGUCUAAUAAGAAGCUGUUUUCCUUUGUAAUAGGACACAACUGGAGAACCUGGUUAUUUUACCAAGACUUUGACUGGAAUGGUGUGCUUUCCUUUAAGGAACUGAACUUGACUUAUGGAGCCAAUAAAAGCCCCUUGGGAAAACUGGCCUCAUACCUUGUUUACACAGUCCUUGUACAGGGUUCCUGACCGGUGGUAAGUAAAGAAUCUCACUUUCUGACAGGCCCAGGAGCCCCAAGUUUUAUGUUGGGACCUCAAGAGGAGAGGAAUUGACCCAACUCAUAGGUAUUUGAUGGUACAAAUCCAUGGCUGGGUUGGGUUUUUACAAAGUCUUAUCUGAGAUUCCUUCUAUGGAACAAAGUUCCAUUAAAGCCAAUAUAAAAGCCUAUGUAAAAAAUAAUUAUUCUUGCAGCACUGUAUACAAAUAACUGGGCCAAGUAUAAUAAAGCAAAUCUGUCCUACCAUGAUGUGUCUUUAGUAAAAAUAGGAAACUGGAGAAAAAUUAUGUUUCAAAAACUAUAGUAUACCUGUUGUUAGAUUCUAGUCUUGUCUAAUGUUUUUCAAUUUUUAUUAUUUUCUACAAUUUGGACUGAAUUCUAAUUUUUCUUGGCUACAAGUCUUCAAAAUAAUGUUAAUAUUUUUUCCUUUUUUUCCUCACUUUUCUUAAUUUGGAGUCACAAAAACUAAGCUGUGCUUUCAUAAAGCCCUGUGAACUGAAGCUAGACAACUUAAACUUCAGAAGAAAAUAAUGGUAACCUAUUUACAUACAUAAGCCACUUUCAUACCUGCCUACUGAUGGAUCGACUUCACAGUAAUGUGGCCUAUAUUGAUUUUCCAAGAUUGUUCUUUUGUCUGUUGUUGUUUUUCUCCCUUCUCCCCCUAUUUUCUCUUCAUAGGACAUGAGACUUAACAACCUGCUAAAAAUGAGCUUUCCUAACAACUUGGGACCUACCUGUCUAGGAAUAAACCAUUAUAGCCAUGACAGAUCAGAUGAAACCUGAGAUCAGAGACUCAUUUUCUUCUAAAAUGCUUUCUCCAAAAGAUUUUAAAAAAGAAAAGGGGGAGUAUGUCAAAGGAAAAUCAGUCUUGGGGCCUCCAAAUCACUGAGCUAAAGGGAAAAGUCAAACUGGGAACUGUUUAGGACCAACUUGCCUCCCAUUCUAUUCAAAGACACCCCUCUGCUUACUGAGAUAAAUGCAUAUCUGAUUACCUCCUUUGGAGAGGCUAAUCAGAAACUCAAAAGAAUGCAACCGUUUGUCUCUUAUCUACCUAUGACCUAGAAGCCCCCUCUCUGCUUCGAGUUGUCCUGCCUCUGCUUCAAGUUGUCCUGACUUCCUGGACCAAACCAAUUUUCAUCCUACAUAUGUUGACUGAUGUUUCAUGUCUCCCUAAAAUGUAUAAAACCAAACUGUGCUCUGACCAUAACUCCUCAGAACUUGCUAAGACUGUGUCAUGGGCACACAACCUCAACUUUGGCAAGAUAAACUUUCUAAAUUAGCUGAGACCUGUCUCAGAUAUUUGGGGUUCAUGAAGGCUACUAUGAACAUCUUUACACACACAAACUAGAAAAUCUAUAAGAAGUGAAUACAUUCCUGAAAAUAUACAACCCUCCUAGAUUAAUUCAGGAAGAAAUAGAAACCCUGAAAAGACAAAUAACAAGCAGCAAGAUUGAAUAAGUAUUAAAAAAUGCCAACAAAAAUGUCCAGGACUAGAUGGAUUUACAGCUGAAUUCCACCAGACAUUCAAAGAAGAAUUGGUACCAAUCCUACUGAAACUAUUCCAAAUGAUAGAGAAAGAGGGAAUCUUCCCUACAUCAUUCGAUGAGGCCAGCAUCACCCUAAUACCAAGACCAGCAAAGGACAUGUCAAAAAAAGAAAACUACAGACCGAUAUUCCUGAUGAACACAGAUGCAAAAAUCCUCAACAAAAUACUAGUGAACUAAAUCCAACAGCAUAUCACAAAGAUAAUGCAUCAUGAUCAAGUGGUUUCAUACCAGGAAUGCAGGAAUGGUUUAACAUAUGCAAGUCAAGUCAAUAAGUGUGAUAUAUUACAUAAACAGAAUUAAAAACAAAAACCAUAUGAUCAUCUCAAUAGAUGCAGAAAAAUAAUUUGAUAAAAUCUAGCAUGACUUUUUGAAAAAAACCCUCAACAAAACAGGCAUAGAAGGGACUUACUUUAAAGUAAUAAAAGCCAUAUCUGACAAACCCACAGCCAAUGUCACACUAAACUGGGAAAAGUUGAAAGCAUUCUCCCUGAGAACAGGAACAAGACAAGGAUGCUGACUUUCACCACUUCUAUUCAACUUAGUACUGGAAGUCCUAACCAGAGCAAUCAGACAAGAGAAAGAAAUGAAAGGAAUCCAAAUCAGAAAAAAGGAUGUCAAACCAUCGCUGUUCACAGAUUAUAUGAUUGUAUAGCUAGAAAACCCUAAAGACUCAUCCAAAAAGCUCCUAGAUCCAAUAAACAAAUUCAGUAAAGUCUCAGGAUACAAAAUCAAUGUACAAAAAUCAGUAACACUGGAAUACACCAAAAAUGACCAAGCUGAGAAUCAAAUCAAGAACAACAGCUGCAAUAAAAAGAAAACCUUAGGAAUACACUUAACUAAGGAGGUGAAAGAUCUCUACCAAAAAAACCCUACAAAACACUGCUGAAAGAAAGAUAAGUGAAAUAAACAAAUGGAAAUAAGUUCCAUGGCCAUAGAUGGGAAGAAUCAACAUUGUGAAAAUGACUGUACUGCUCAAAGCAAUCUACAGAUUCAAUGCAAUUCCCAUCAAAAUACCAUAAUUCUUCACAGAACUAGAAAAAACAAUCCUAAAUUCAUAUGGAAGCAAAAAAGAUCCCACAUAGCCAAAGAAAUACUAAGCUGAAAGUACAAAUAUAAAGGCUUCACAUUACCCAACUUCAAGUUAUACUACAAGGUUACAGUUAUCAAAACCGCGGGGUACUGGUAUAAAAAUAGGCACAUAGACCAAUGGAACAGAAAUAGAGAACCUAGAAAUAAAGCCAAAUACUUGGAGCCAACUGAUCUUUGACAAGGCAUACAAAAACAUACAUUGGGAAAAGGACACCCUAUUCAAUAAAUGGUGCUGGGAAAACUGGCAAGCCACAUGUAGAGGAAUAAAACUGGAUCUCCAUCUGUCACCUUAUACAAAAAUCAACUCAAGAUGAAUCAAAGAGUUAAAUCUAAGAUCUGAAAUCAUAAAAAUUCUAGAAGAUAACAUCAAAAAUACUCUUCUGGACAUUGGCUUAGGCAAAGAAUUCAUAAUUAAGUACCCAAAAGCAAAUGCAACAAAACAAAAAUAAAUUGCUUCUUCAUAGCAAAAGAAAUUACAGAGUAAACAGACAACCCACAGAGCGGGAGAAAAUAUUCACAAACUAUGCAUCCAACAAAGGUCUAGAAUCCAGAACCUACAAGGAACUCAAAUCAGCAAGAAAAAAACAAAUAAUCCCAUGAAAAAGUGGGCAAAGGUCAUGAACAGACACUUCUCAAAAGAAGAUAUACAAAUGGCCAACAAACACAUGAAAAACUGUUCAACAUCACUAAUUCUCAUGGAAAUGCAAAUCAAAACCACAGUGAGACACCAGCUUACUCCUGCAAGAAUGGCCAUAAUUAAAAUGUCAAAGAACAAUAGAUGUUGGUGUGGAUGUGGUGAAAGGAAACACUUUUACACUGCUGAUGGGAAUAUAAAUUAGUACAACCACUACAGAAAACAGUAUGUGGAUUCCUUAAAGAACUAAAAGUAGAUCUACCAUUUAGUCCAGCAAUCCUGCUACUGGGUAUCUAGGAAAGGAAAAUAAGUCAUUACAUAAAAAAGACAGCUACAUGCAUAUAUUUAUUACAGCACAAUUCGCAAUGGCAAAGAUAUGGAAGCAACAUAAGCGCCCAUCAAUUAAUCAAUGGGGAGACUGUGGCUCAAUGAGGUCAAACAAUUUGCAGUCAGGGAGUAGGGAUGCUUUGAAUAUGGCCAUCAUCUCACUGGCUCACUGUGGGGGAGUGAUGCCAGGAGGACUUCUGUUCCACCAUCUUGCUGAUGUUACUCUCCCUCACUAAAACAUUGUGUGUGCAACUAGGGUCAUCUGGGCAGCUGAAAAAAAAAGUCAAAGAAAAACUAAGGCCUUCCUUUCCUAUCACCCAUCAAUGUUGGCAGAGAUGGAAAAAACAGGCACCGUUUAGGUGCUGGGAAUGGAGCAGUGAACCACACUGACAACAACUCCCUGCCUUCAUAGAACCUGCCUUCUAGAAAGGGAAGACAGAGCAAAAAAAAAAUAAACUGGAUCAAAGCUAUACUCAACUUCAAGAUGACUGUUCACUGAGAAAUGUGAAAUUAAUAUGAAAUAUGAAAGAAAACUCUUACUAUGUAAAUGAAUCACAGAAUCCAAGAAAGAUGUGCCGGAUGGGAACUAGAGGUCAUCUAGAUUGCAUUCUGUCUAAUCAGAUCAUAUGAAGGAGCCAAAGCUGUCUUCCUGUUAGCUCCAGAGUAAAAGUAGCCUGCAGCCCACACCCUGGGGUCUGAUGAAAGGACUCACACUCCAGUCUGCAUUCCUGCUGCACCUGCCAGACCCUGCUGACAAAAUUUCUGUUUCUCCAUUGACCAAAUAAAACUGCAGUGUGGCCCCUUGGAGGGUUCCAGGAAAACUGAAGCUCCACUUCUCGUUUUUUAAGUUAGCCUGCUGCCACCUGGAGCUGAAAGCUGUAAUCCCCACUCACCCUGGUGGGGACCUGACCUCUCUCCCACUGGAACCAG
Molecule: long non-coding RNA, 5559 nt
Filed under: Homo sapiens (human)
Lineage: Eukaryota; Metazoa; Chordata; Mammalia; Primates; Hominidae
Description: HSALNT0150069
Source: RNAcentral